Molecule: transfer-messenger RNA, 366 nt
Filed under: bacterium
Lineage: Bacteria
Also listed under: 1 other name
Description: WJME01 sp014728115 Standard tmRNA
Rfam family: transfer-messenger RNA
About the family: Bacterial tmRNA, also known as 10Sa RNA or SsrA, is named for its dual tRNA and mRNA-like properties. Its role is to liberate the mRNA from a stalled ribosome.
Source: RNAcentral
GGGGACGAAUCUGGUUUCGACGGGAUCUGAGAUGUUAGUGGAUGCAUGCCGAGGUUCUCGGAAUCCUCGUAAAAUAGCCGGGACCUAAAAUUAAAUGCAGAUGAUUACAACUAUGCAUUGGCUGCGUAAAUAACGCAACCACGUUCACUAUCUUUCGUGUCUGCUAGGGUGAUAGAUGAACGUCGAUUAUAGCGGACUAGCUGUGUUCCUCGCCUGAGGGAAGGCAGCGAAACCUUUUUCAGGCUGGACUCUUUCCGCGUCGUUCCUUUCGCUACGAUAGAGUCGAGAUCAUAAAAGGAACUAUGCAUGUAGAUUCCGCUAUGGUCCGUUUCUCGGACGUGGGUUCGACUCCCACCGUCUCCACUC